AAGUAAAACCACUGGGCAUUGCUAAGCCUGGCAGAGCUGUUUAAAAAAAAAAAUAUAUAUAUAAUGUAGAACUACUGGAAAUGCUGGAGUGGCCAAGUAGUUUACACACAUCAUGGCGAUUUUUUUUUUUAAAGCAGUGCUAAAUCAUCUGCCAAGUGUGACUAAGCCAGCACACAGCAUUUCAGUAGAACUGCUUGAGGCUACUACACAGGAAGAGCUGGGAGGAAUCUGGUCCAUUGUGCAGGAGCAGUAUCCUUCUCCCAUGACUCUGCAACUUUCUAGCAUCAUUCUUAAGAGGAAGGCAACCACAAUGAGAUGAGUUCUCCAGCUAGGGGUCCAGUACUACCAAUAAACAGGCCAAAGACAGCUACCUUUCUUGUCCU
Molecule: long non-coding RNA, 383 nt
Filed under: Anas platyrhynchos platyrhynchos (common mallard)
Lineage: Eukaryota; Metazoa; Chordata; Aves; Anseriformes; Anatidae
Description: lncRNA (ENSAPLG00000023423.1)
Source: RNAcentral